Molecule: ribosomal RNA, 417 nt
Filed under: uncultured Gammaproteobacteria bacterium
Lineage: Bacteria; Pseudomonadati; Pseudomonadota; Gammaproteobacteria
Description: bacterial SSU rRNA
Rfam family: Bacterial small subunit ribosomal RNA
Source: RNAcentral
AAUGGGGGCAACCCUGAUCCAGCCAUGCCGCGUGUGUGAAGAAGGCCUUCGGGUUGUAAAGCACUUUCAGUUGUGAGGAAGGGGAGUAGGUUAAUAACCUGCUUCAUUGACGUUAACAACAGAAGAAGCACCGGCUAACUUCGUGCCAGCAGCCGCGGUAAUACGAGGGGUGCAAGCGUUAAUCGGAAUUACUGGGCGUAAAGCGCGCGUAGGCGGUUAUUUAAGCCAGAUGUGAAAUCCCCGGGCUCAACCUGGGAACUGCAUUUGGAACUGGGUAACUAGAAUGCAGCAGAGGAUAGUGGAAUUUCAGGUGUAGCGGUGAAAUGCGUAGAGAUCUGAAGGAACAUCAGUGGCGAGGGCGACUGUCUGGGCUGACAUUGACGCUGAGGUGCGAAAGCGUGGGUAGCAAACAGGAUU